GAUGAAGACGUAGUGAAAUGCGAUAAGUAAUGUGAAUUGCAGAAUUCAGUGAAUCAUCGAAUCUUUGAACGCACAUUGCGCCCCUUGGUAUUCCGAGGGGCAUGCCUGUUCGAGCGUCAUUAUCACCCCUCAAGCUUUGCUUGGUGUUGGGGCCUGCUGUAAUAGGCAGCCCUUAAAAUCAGUGGCGGUGCUUCAAGGCUCUAAGCGUAGUAAUUCUCCUCGCUAUAGUGUCUAGUGGUUGCCAGCCAGAACCCCCCAAUUUUCAUGAUUGACCUCGGAUCAGGUAGGGAUACCCGCUGAACUUAAGCAUAUCAAUAAGCGGAGGA
This 326-nucleotide unclassified non-coding RNA is filed under the name soil metagenome. Its description in RNAcentral is "partial contains 5.8S ribosomal RNA, internal transcribed spacer 2, and large subunit ribosomal RNA". The stretch from base 1 to 119 matches the Rfam family "5.8S ribosomal RNA", at positions 35 to 154 of the family's 154-position model. The record is from RNAcentral.